AACGAACGCUGGCGGCAUGCCUAACACAUGCAAGUCGAACGAGACCUUCGGGUCUAGUGGCGCACGGGUGCGUAACGCGUGGGAAUCUGCCCUUGGGUUCGGAAUAACAGCGAGAAAUUGCUGCUAAUACCGGAUGAUGACGUAAGUCCAAAGAUUUAUCGCCCAAGGAUGAGCCCGCGUAGGAUUAGCUAGUUGGUGAGGUAAAGGCUCACCAAGGCGACGAUCCUUAGCUGGUCUGAGAGGAUGAUCAGCCACACUGGGACUGAGACACGGCCCAGACUCCUACGGGAGGCAGCAGUGGGGAAUAUUGGACAAUGGGCGCAAGCCUGAUCCAGCAAUGCCGCGUGAGUGAUGAAGGCCUCGGUCGUAAAGCUCUUUUACCCGGGACUGAUAAUGACAGUACCGGGAGGAAUAAGCUCCGGCUAACUCCGUGCCAGCAGCCGCGGUAAU
This 450-nucleotide ribosomal RNA is filed under the name uncultured bacterium. Its description in RNAcentral is "bacterial SSU rRNA". It matches the Rfam family "Bacterial small subunit ribosomal RNA", at positions 29 to 524 of the family's 1533-position model. The record is from RNAcentral.